RNAcentral lists this unclassified non-coding RNA (367 nucleotides) under uncultured bacterium. Its description in RNAcentral is "contains 16S-23S intergenic spacer region". The record is from RNAcentral.
UCUCCGUUGCCGGAGCAGUUCGAAAAGACACUUGUAACUUUUCGUAGGGGUUGCGCUCGUUACUCCACUUAAGGAAACACUUCACAGCACGAGCUGACGACAGCCAUGCAACACCUGUCUCGCGGUUCCAGCAAGCUGGCACUUUCUUGUUUCCAAAAAAUUCCGCGGAUGUCAAGACUUGGUAAGGUUCUUCGCGUACCGUCGAAUUAAACCACAUGUUCCACCGCUUGUGCGGGCCCCCGCCUAUUCUUUUGAGUUUUAGCCUUGCGGCCGUAGUCCCCAGGCGGCUUGCUUAACGCGUUAGCUUCGCUUCUCAGAGGGUCGAUACUCUAAAAAGCCAGCAAGCAUCGUUUACGGCGUGGACUAC